AUACGGCUCAGUAACACGUAGUCAACCUGCCCUAGAGACAUGAAUAACCCCGGGAAACUGGGAUUAAUACAUGAUAGAUCAUCUCAUCUGGAAGGAGAGAUGGUUUAAAGGGGUGCGCGAGCUUCUUUUGUGCAUCCGCUCUAGGAUGGGACUGCGGCCGAUCAGGCUGUUGGUGGGGUAAUGGCCCACCAAACCUGUAACCGGUACGGGCCUUGAGAGAGGGGGCCCGGAGAUGGACACUGAGAGAAGGGUCCAGGUCCUACGGGGCGCAGCAGGCGCGAAACCUUCGCAAUGCGCGAAAGCGUGACGAGGUUAAUCCGAGUGGUUCCCGCUGAGGGAAUCUUUUGUGGCUCUAAAAUGGCCAGUGAAUAAGGGGAGGGCAAGUCUGGUGUCAGCCGCCGCGGUAAUACCAGCUCCUCGAGUGGUCGGGGCGAUUAUUGGGCCUAAAGCAUCCGUAGCCUGUUCUGUAGGUCUUCUGUUAAAUCCAACGGCUUAACCGUUGGCCUGCAGAAGAUACCGCAGGACUAGGAGGCGGGAGAGGUGGACGGUACUCCACGUGUAGGGGUAAAAUCCUUUGAUCCGUGGAAGACCACCAGUGGCGAAGGCGGUCCACCAGAACGCGCUCGACGGUGAGGGAUGAAAGCUGGGGGAGCGAACCGGAUUAGAUACCCGGGUAGUCCCAGCCGUAAACGAUGCGAGCUAGAUGAUCCAAUCGCAAAUCGCGAUUGGAGUGUCGCAGGGAA
This 743-nucleotide ribosomal RNA is filed under the name uncultured crenarchaeote. RNAcentral's name for it is "bacterial SSU rRNA". It matches the Rfam family "Archaeal small subunit ribosomal RNA", at positions 83 to 810 of the family's 1478-position model. Lineage: Archaea; Thermoproteati; Thermoproteota. The record is from RNAcentral.